Molecule: long non-coding RNA, 1809 nt
Filed under: Oncorhynchus mykiss (rainbow trout)
Lineage: Eukaryota; Metazoa; Chordata; Actinopteri; Salmoniformes; Salmonidae
Description: lncRNA (ENSOMYG00000066845.1)
Source: RNAcentral
AUGAACCCUAACCUUAGCCUUCAUUGUAAAAUAAAGAACCCUAACCGUAAACCUAACCCUAGCCUUCAUUGUAAAACAAAGAACCCUGACCCUAACCCUAGCCUUCAUUGUAAAAUAAAGAACCCUAACCUUAGCCUUCAUUGUAAAAUAAAGAACCCUAACCCUAACCCUAGCCUUCAUUGUAAAACAAAGAACCCUAACCCUAACAUUAGCCUUCAUUGUGAAAUAAAGAACCCUAACCUUAGCCUUCAUUGUAAAAUAAAGUACCCUAACCCUAACCCUAGCCUUCACUGUAAAAUAAAGAACCCUAACCCUAACCCUAGCCUUCAUUGUAAAACAAAGAACCCUAACCGUAACCCUAACCCUAGCCUUCAUUGUAAAAUAAAGAACCCUAACCCUAACCCUAGCCUUCAUUGUAAAACAAAGAACCCUAACCGUAACCCUAACCCUAGCCUUCAUUGUAAAAUAAAGAACCCUAACCCUAACCCUAGCCUUCAUUGUAAAAUAAAGAACCCUAACCGUAAACCUAACCCUAGCCUUCAUUGUAAAACAAAGAACCCUAACCCUAGUCUUCAUUGUAAAAUAAAGAACCCUAACCUUAGCCUUCAUUGUAAAAUAAAGAACCCUAACCGUAAACCUAACCCUAGCCUUCAUUGUAAAACAAAGAACCCUAACUCUAACAUUAGCCUUCAUUGUGAAAUAAAGAACCCUAACCUUAGCCUUCAUUGUAAAAUAAAGUACCCUAACCCUAACCCUAGCCUUCAUUGUAAAAUAAAGAACCCUGACCCUAACCCUAGCCUUCAUUGUAAAACAAAGAACCCUAACCCUAACAUUAGCCUUCAUUGUGAAAUAAAGAACCCUAACCUUAGCCUUCAUUGUAAAAUAAAGUACCCUAACCCUAACCCUAGCCUUCAUUGUAAAAUAAAGAACCCUAACCCUAGCCUUCAUUGUAAAACAAAGAACCCUAACCCUAACAUUAGCCUUCAUUGUGAAAUAAAGAACCCUAACCUUAGCCUUCAUUGUAAAAUAAAGUACCCUAACCCUAACCCUAGCCUUCACUGUAAAAUAAAGAACCCUAACCCUAACCCUAGCCUUCAUUGUAAAACAAAGAACCCUAACCCUAGUCUUCAUUGUAAAAUAAAGAACCCUAACCUUAGCCUUCAUUGUAAAAUAAAGAACCCUAACCGUAAACCUAACCCUAGCCUUCAUUGUAAAACAAAGAACCCUAACCCUAACAUUAGCCUUCAUUGUGAAAUAAAGAACCCUAACCUUAGCCUUCAUUGUAAAAUAAAGAACCAUAACCCUAACCCUAGCCUUCACUGUAAAACAAAGAACCCUAACCCUAACAUUAGCCUUCAUUGUGAAAUAAAGAACCCUAACCUUAGCCUUCAUUGUAAAAUAAAGAACCCUAACCCUAACCCUAGCCUUCAUUGUAAAACAAAGAACCCUAACCCUAACAUUAGCCUUCAUUGUGAAAUAAAGAACCCUAACCUUAGCCUUCAUUGUAAAAUAAAGAACCCUAACCCUAACCCUAGCCUUCAUUGUAAAAUAAAGAACCCUAAUCCUAACCCUAGCCUUCAUUGUAAAAUAAAGAACCCUAACCUUAGCCUUCAUUGUAAAAUAAAGAACCCUAAUCCUAACCCUAGCCUUCAUUGUAGAACAAAGAACCCUAACCCUAGCCUUCAUUGUAAAAUAAAGAACCCUAACCCUAGCCUUCAUUGUAGAACAAAUAACCCUAACCCUAACCCUAGCCUUCAUUGUAAAACAAAGAACCCUAACCCUAGCCUUCAUUGUAUAACAAAGAGAUGA